AUUGCCCACAGUCAUCUUGUCCAAAAGAGAGGAUAAAAGUCAGCAGGUUGAAUUUUUUCCAAACUUCAGCUUGCAGCCUACAGCAUCUUGGAUCCUCAGCUACUUCAGCCGAAACUCAAGAAGACUGUCUUCACAGAGUCAAAGUGAAAAAAGAGUAGAGCAGACAGGGACAGCGGUCACUGCACAAAAUCAGCAGACUGCCAGGGCAGCCCCAUGUCUCUUCAGAACGUUGGGACAAACUAAAGUCGGUCUCAGGAAGAAACUGCUUCUCAUGUUCUCAUAAGAAAUUCUCCAAUUUGAAUAUUCAGCAGGAGAAGAAGGCUGACUGAAUACUUAGAUUUAACAACAAUGGUUAAACAUAUUCCUUUCUUAUGAUUCUGCUCCAUCUUUCUAAGAGUAAUUCAGUGUCAACAGCAACGGUGGUGGAGAGGAGUCACACUUUCCUCACCUUUAAUUGUAAAGUAAUUCAGAAAAAGAAAGAAAUUCUACUAGUCAUUAUGGCAAUUGUAAAAGCAGAAAGAAGGACAUUCCAGAGAAGGAAAAUGUUCUAACUCAGAGAAGGGAGCAUUUCAGCUCAUUCUUGACGGAUAUGUGAAAGUAAGUCAAAUACACUUGAAUGUUUGGGGAAAAAAAAUAAAAUAAGAGGUUGGGAUGCUAUCUUCCUCUUGCCUCAGUCAAAAUAGGCCAAAUUCAAAGCUUAAAAGGGCAGCAGAAGAUUAGAAAAUGCCUAAAGAGGAGAACUCAGAGAAAGAGAACCCUGAAAGACAAACUUCACUCACAUUAUAAUCUCCUAGGAGGCCAUUCAGUAUAACCAGAAAAGCAC
This 823-nucleotide long non-coding RNA is filed under the name Cercocebus atys (sooty mangabey). RNAcentral describes it as "lncRNA (ENSCATG00000045485.1)". Lineage: Eukaryota; Metazoa; Chordata; Mammalia; Primates; Cercopithecidae. The record is from RNAcentral.